UUGUUAGGUUUAUAGAGCAAGACGGCCUUAAUAGAGGAAAAGUGCUUCCGGACGUGCCUUUGUGAUCCACAUGUGCUGCGUUACAGUAUGACACAAAAAUGAAACAAUGAUCAAUGUUUUCAGACUGCUAGAUCCACACCUAAGCUUUCCUGUUCAAUUGAUCUGACGGAGCUCAAACGGAGAAGGCUGCUUUUCUUGGACGGCAAACUCAGUUCCAUGUCAUCUCUGUGAGUCAUGUAAACUGCUCUGUGUUUGGACAAAUUCCACUGUGCUUGCUGUGUGGUGAAAAAAAUGAGAAAGGAAAAUAAUAAGGAGCUUGAACUUGAUGAAUCUUGAAUUGCACGGGUACAGAAUACCUGUGUGCGUGUGGCGGCGGUAUACACGCAGUGAUGUGGUCAUUGGAGGAAACUAAGAGUUCCGGAAUGCCCGAGGAAUGAGCUCAUUCAAAUUAAAGCGCGUGGCAAUUACCAAAUGGUAACAACAGGCUACUCAGCAGUGCAAGUCCAGGAGAGCAGGCCGCCUGACAAAGAAGCAAACACAAAGUGAUUGUGGUGGAACUACUCAACAACAUACAGGUGCAGAGUGGGACUCACUAUUAUCCUGGGGGUUCAAACAAUGCAGAGUGGCCCACUGAUGUAGAAUAGUCGAUAGAAAGAAGUAGGUUGCUUUUGGCAGGAAUCAACCAGGCCAAUAAGCAAUCAAGGCAUCUCCCUAAAGGACCUCUGCGCAAAAUUU
Molecule: long non-coding RNA, 735 nt
Organism: Sander lucioperca (pikeperch)
Lineage: Eukaryota; Metazoa; Chordata; Actinopteri; Perciformes; Percidae
Exons: 2
Source: RefSeq, a predicted model, not a curated record